UUGUUGUUGUUUUUUUAAGGUUUUGUAGCAAAUGUGCUCAGCUGCCAAACAUUUUUAAUUCCUCUGCUAGACAAGAUGGGAGUGGAGCCUGUUGCCUGGGAAGAAUAUUUACUCGUCAGCAAACCAGACGUUCACCUCCAUCUCCUUGCCAGAGUCCUAUCUUCUCGAUCCAAAAUGGAGCCAGAUGUGCUGGGAGUCAGUUUCUAACUUCACAGGAUAUGAGUCAAAAUGUGCAACUCGCCGCCUGGAACUCCGGUGACUGCAGUGGAGUUCAGCCAAGGACAAUUUUGGCAAAGAGGAGUGGUCAGGAUGGCCCUAAGCGAUACCAGGUACCAGCGUGUGGCCCUGGGGAGGAGCUGGGGAGCAGCCUGGAGCCCCUGAGCACACCACUUUGAACAGCAGAGCAGACACGAAGGCAACUUGAAGGAUGUGUAGGAGACCUGAGACAGCGCACUCCAGAGCCCUGUGAGGUACUGGUGUUGGUUGAGAAGUUCGUGAAGCCCAAUUGCUCAGCUUCUCGCAUUGCUCUUCUCUGCUUUCAUCCCCUGUAUCCCUUUGUUCCAUCUCUUACUCCCCUGUGGUGCAUCUGAAAUCCCCUUCAUUGCACCCAGACUUUGUCCCUCCGUGUCUUCUGACACCCUCCUCUCCACACACACCGUGUUUGCAGCUCUCUUCCCCCUUCUUCCCACACCAUGUCUCAGCCUUGCCCUGCUCUGGAGGAGAUUUGGGGGAUCUGUGGGGCAGUAGGAGCACAGCAGCACUGAGGCACACUUGUACCAGGUGGCAGGCCAGGGGACAAGAGCCAAGGUCCAAGCCCAGCAUGCUCCUGCCAUGCCGGGGAGAGCUUCAACAGCCCUGGAAACCCAGGGGUUUGCCCUUGGUUGGGCAAAAGUGCCGCGUGGUGGAAACCACCACCUGCACCCCCCCAGCAGAAGGGCAGCGAGAUGGAUGCAAUCUGCCCCCGGAUGAACAGCUCCUGCUUACGCAGCGGGAAGCGAGGGAGUCACUAGCUCGCUUUCCCUCCUGCCGACCUGUGCCUCCUCCUCCACCCAGCCUCCCUUCAUGCUUCUGGGUCAGGGCCCCAGCUUUGCUCCCUCUCCUUUGUUUCCCUUUUCUGCCACCUUUUAAUCCCCCUCCUCCCAAUCCCUUUUGCCUCUCCAGAGCCCUGUCCUCUCCUGCUUGGUCUCUGCUCUUGGUCCUGUCCACUUUCUGCAUCCAACCAACCCACACCAUCCCUGCUUGGUCAGCACACGUGCCCGAUCCCUUCCCUGUGCUCCCCCCCAAAAAAAAAACUUUUAAAAAAAAAGCAAUUCAAGAGUGGUCUGGGUUAAAGGGAUUUUGUAUCAGUGACUUACUGGGGCAGAUGACCAACUUAUUGUUUUUUCUUGACUGCAUUCACUUGCCUUGCUCCGUGUAACCUAAUCCUGUUUUUUAACCAUCUUCUAUCUCCCCUCUGUUAGUCAUUACUGAUUUUCCUGACUACUUAGGUUUCUAAAACAAAAUCGGACUGUUUAUUUUAGAGCGCUCACAAAUGUUUUUUAAACCAGAGAUAGUGGGGCUUGGACAAAAGGCACCCCUGGAAGAAGCAAGAAUUGCAUGCACCGUGCAGUUCCCAAGAGCUGCGAGAGAAGCAGUCACCUGCUUGGUGCACGGGUGCAGCUGAGGUUCAGCGAGCACCCUGUCUCACCCGGAAUCACCCGGGUAUUUUACCAGCAAUCUGCCUGGAAACCUUCUUGCCUCAGCACAUGUCUCACUGCACAUGAGCGCUGCUCCGUCUUUGAUCCGACAGCUUGCCACGAGCUGAUCCAGUGGCUCGAGCCCAAAGGUCAGCAACUUUUGCAGUGGUGUCAUCGGUGGGGGCUGUGCACCAGCAGAAAGGGAUGCCAGGCAACAGACCAGCCUGAACAGGGCCACACCAUGUGUUGAGAAAUAAAGAAGAGAAGCAGUAACACAGAGGAAGGCAUUAAUGUAUUAUUCACGCAAUGGCCGUGCUUUCGUUCUUCUCCUAGAUUUUCCCCUAGAAGUGAGGGUGGAGCCUCUGUGCCCACCUCUGCUAAACUUCAGGGAAUCUGCAGUCCGCCGAGACAGCUGCAGGCAGAGUACACGCGUGGCCAUUAUGUGAAGGAAAGCAGCUCAUGACACGCCUGCUGGAGGCAGGCUGGGUAGCCGGGUCUUCCCACUCAGACGACUCCAAAUUUGCACCGAGCGGCGUUUUGCCAGGGCCUCCACGAGGCUCGUCGGCAGCAAACCAGACCUGAUGGGGCAGGGGAACGUCGAGGCGUGUUGCGUGCGCCGUCGCUAGCAGAGAGCCGUGCUCGGCCUGCACCACGGCCCAGCGAGCCACGCUCCCCGGGACGGCUCUGAGCGCACGCGGGGCUGGAGCACCCCAAGCAACACAUGGUGCACCCAACAGUGCCUCGCUGCAGCGGUGAUUAAUCAUUUAGGCCCUGAUCCUGCAAACGUGCAUGAGUUUAAUGUUACUACUAUGAGUAAUCCCCUUGAUUUCAAAUUAGAUUAGUCACAGUCUUAACACUUGGCACGUGAAUAAAUGUUUGCAGGGUGAGAGCCCUAUUUAUGGCCCGAUCUUGCAAAUUAUUACUGUCUAGCACACUGCUUCUGUUCCUGAAUAGUUUCACUGAUGGAAAAAAAAAAAAAAAAAAGCCUCAAACACUCCCCUGGAUUGUGAACGUUGCAGGGUUAGAUGUGGUGCGUGGCAAGCGUGUGCACCCCUGCGCAGCGUGGGUCACGGGCAGAGGCAUCUGAGCCUUGAGGGGUGGGUGCCUGCUGGAGGCUCUGACCCAAAGCUCUGGCGAGCCGACCGCCGCCGAUGUUUUCUCCUUCCUCUACCCCCGGUUCUGAGAUUCAGGUCUUCCAUCUACAGUGUAAAUGGACUUUUU
This is a long non-coding RNA of Cygnus atratus (black swan), 2897 nucleotides long. RefSeq lists it as uncharacterized. Lineage: Eukaryota; Metazoa; Chordata; Aves; Anseriformes; Anatidae. The transcript is spliced from 3 exons. The record is from RefSeq and is a predicted model, not a curated record.